UACAGAGGGUGCGAGCGUUGUCCGGAAUCACUGGGCGUAAAGGGCGCGUAGGUGGCGCGACAAGUCAGUGGUGAAAGCUCGAUGCUCAACAUCGAGUCGGCCACUGAUACUGUUGGGCUCGAGCACUGUAGAGGCUAAUGGAAUUCCGGGUGUAGCGGUGGAAUGCGUAGAGAUCCGGAAGAACACCCGUGGCUAAGGCGGCUCUCUAGUACGGUACUGACGCUGAGACGCGAAAGCGUGGGGAGCGAACAGG
This 253-nucleotide ribosomal RNA is filed under the name uncultured bacterium. RNAcentral's name for it is "partial 16S ribosomal RNA". It matches the Rfam family "Bacterial small subunit ribosomal RNA", at positions 524 to 776 of the family's 1533-position model. The record is from RNAcentral.